AUGAGAGCAACUCGCUGUGCCAGUUUGACCAGAAAUUUCCUAAGGAGGGGACUUCUGAUGGCAAUAUUAGUCUUCAUCACAAAUGAACAGUCGUUCCAAAUACCAGAAUUGGCAUCAUGUAGCACUCUCCUGUUACCAAUCUGCAACAGGAGGAACCAAAAGAAACAUAUGGUGUUUAUAGAAUUGUUAUGCUGGGAACAGAUAUCUCUACAACAUAUGCAGUAUGAGUUAGAAAGAAACAAAAAACGGCAAUGUCAAACCUUAAAUAUUGAUGCUAAAGCUUCCACUAUGCCAAUGGACCUAAAUUGA
This 309-nucleotide ribosomal RNA is filed under the name Triticum aestivum (bread wheat). RNAcentral describes it as "partial small subunit ribosomal RNA". Lineage: Eukaryota; Viridiplantae; Streptophyta; Magnoliopsida; Poales; Poaceae. The record is from RNAcentral.